RNAcentral lists this ribosomal RNA (213 nucleotides) under Chloropicon mariensis. Its description in RNAcentral is "partial Bacterial large subunit ribosomal RNA". It matches the Rfam family "Bacterial large subunit ribosomal RNA", at positions 1638 to 1836 of the family's 2925-position model. Lineage: Eukaryota; Viridiplantae; Chlorophyta; Chloropicophyceae; Chloropicales; Chloropicaceae. The record is from RNAcentral.
CGGCCCGUACCCCAAACCAACUCAGGUGGUCAGGUAGAGAAUACCAAGGCGAUCGAGCGAACUGUGGUUAAGGAACUCGGCAAAAUGCCCCCGUAACUUCGGGAGAAGGGGGACCACAACCGGUGACACACAUUCGUGUUGAGCUGGUUGGGGUCGCAGAGAAGAGAGGGGAGCGACUGUUUAUCAAAAACACAGGGCUUUGCUAAAUUGAAA